Molecule: ribosomal RNA, 468 nt
Filed under: uncultured bacterium
Lineage: Bacteria
Description: partial 16S ribosomal RNA
Rfam family: Bacterial small subunit ribosomal RNA
Source: RNAcentral
GACGAACGCUGGCGGCGUGCUUAACACAUGCAAGUCGAACGGAAAGGCCCUGCUUUUGUGGGUUGCUCGAGUGGCGAACGGGUGAGUAACACGUGAGUAACCUGCCCUUGACUUUGGGAUAACUUCAGGAAACUGGGGCUAAUACCGGAUAUGAGCUCCUGCUGCAUGGUGGGGGUUGGAAAGUUUCGGCGGUUGUGGAUGGACUCGCGGCUUAUCAGCUUGUUGGUGGGGUAGUGGCUUACCAAGGCUUUGACGGGUAGCCGGCCUGAGAGGGUGACCGGCGACAUUGGGACUGAGAUACGGCGCAGACUCGUACGGGAGGCAGCAGUGGGGAAUAUUGCACAAUGGGCGGAAGCCUGAUGCAGCAACGCCGCGUGCGGGAUGACGGCCUUCGGGUUGUAAACCGAUUUCGCCUGUGACGAAGCGUGAGUGACGGUAAUGGGUAAAGAAGCACCGGCUAACUACGUG